This 467-nucleotide ribosomal RNA is filed under the name uncultured bacterium. RNAcentral's name for it is "partial 16S ribosomal RNA". It matches the Rfam family "Bacterial small subunit ribosomal RNA", at positions 29 to 507 of the family's 1533-position model. The record is from RNAcentral.
ACGCACGCUGGCGGCGUGCUUAACACCUGCAAGUCGAACGGAAAGGCCCUGCUUUUGUGGGGUGCUCGAGUGGCGAACGGGUGAGUAGCACGUGAGUAACCUGCCCUUGACUUUGGGAUAACUUCAGGAAACUGGGGCUAAUACCGGAUAGGAGCUCCUGCUGCAUGGUGGGGGUUGGAAAGUUUCGGCGGUUGGGGAUGGACUCGCGGCUUAUCAGCUUGUUGGUGGGGUAGUGGCUUACCAAGGCUUUGACGGGUAGCCGGCCUGAGAGGGUGACCGGCCACAUUGGGACUGAGAUACGGCCCAGACUCCUACGGGAGGCAGCAGUGGGGAAUAUUGCACAAUGGGCGGAAGCCUGAUGCAGCAACGCCGCGUGCGGGAUGACGGCCUUCGGGUUGUAAACCGCUUUCGCCUGUGACGAAGCGUGAGUGACGGUAAUGGGUAAAGAAGCACCGGCUAACUACGUG